AUCCUUUCCCUCUCUUUUUUUCCCAAACCCCUUUCUCAUUUUCAGCUACCCUUCUCUCUCCCCUCGCUUCAUUUUCAGAAACCCUCGCCCACUCUAACCAAAUCCUUAACAGACCUACCAGACAAGGGAUGAAAAUGAGCAGCCCACUCUAACACAAAAUCUUUAAUUGGAUAAAGUAGCAGAAAUUUGGUAGAAUCGGUGUAUUUUGAAGAAGGAUAUAACAUUCUUUGUUGAAAUCGAGAUAACUCCUGGGGACCUUCAAAGAAGACGCAAUUGUCACUGGCUGCUUUUCCUCUUUCUGCUCUGAGUUGUGUUUGAAUCAGUCUCAAGAUUCACAAGGAGCUAGCAAGAUACUUAAAGUGAAGAAAAGGGACGUGUUAAAUUUAUCUAAUGGAGAACGUAUUGUGGUUGAUUUUGACGACACGGAUUCUCCCAUUGGUGAAGGACAAGGCAUUCUUGCAGGCUUUUGUCGAAUUUUAGCAACUGACUGCUCCAUUUUUUCAAUUCACUUUGAGAUAAUGGAUAGCGUUUCACUGGAAAUUCCACCGGAUCAAUGAAUUUCUUAUGUUGAUUAACGCUUUAAAGAAAAGACACAAGUAUUUAUUUCAAUGCUUCAAUUAGUUUGUGUAAUUAUAUAUUUGUUUGUA
This is a non-coding RNA of Nicotiana tabacum (common tobacco), 647 nucleotides long. Lineage: Eukaryota; Viridiplantae; Streptophyta; Magnoliopsida; Solanales; Solanaceae. The record is from RefSeq and is a predicted model, not a curated record.